GAUUGAAAGCUGGCGUCUUCGGCGUCCGCAUUGUAAUCUCAAGAAGUGUUUUCCGUUUCGGACCACGCCUAAGUCUCUUGGAAAAGAGCAUCAUAGAGGGUGAUAAUCCCGUACAUGGCAUGGAGCGCCCGAGACUUUGUGAUACGCUUUCUAAGAGUCGAGUUGUUUGGGAAUGCAUCUCAAAAUGGGUGGUAAAUGCCAUCUAAGGCUAAAUAUUGGGGAGAGACCGAUAGCGAACAAGUACAGUGAUGGAAAGAUGAAAAGAACUUUGAAAAGAGAGUUAAACAGUACGUGAGAUUGCCAAAAGGGAAGGGUAGGAGGUCAGAGAUGCGUUCUGGGAUUCAGCCUUGCUUUUGCUUGGUGUUUUUCCCAGAUGGCAGGCCAACGUCGGUUUUGGGCGCUGGAGAAGGGUGGAAGGAAUGUGGCACCUCUCGGGGUGUGUUAUAGCCUUCUACUGGAUACAGUGACCGAGACCGAGGACAGCAGCGUACUCGCAAGAGCGGGCCUUCGGGCACCUUUACGCUUAGGGCGUUGGCAUAAUGGCCCUCUACCACCCGUCUUG
This 562-nucleotide ribosomal RNA is filed under the name uncultured Pseudozyma. Its description in RNAcentral is "eukaryotic LSU rRNA". It matches the Rfam family "Eukaryotic large subunit ribosomal RNA", at positions 112 to 656 of the family's 3401-position model. The record is from RNAcentral. Lineage: Eukaryota; Fungi; Basidiomycota; Ustilaginomycetes; Ustilaginales; Ustilaginaceae.